RNAcentral lists this ribosomal RNA (364 nucleotides) under uncultured bacterium. RNAcentral's name for it is "bacterial SSU rRNA". It matches the Rfam family "Bacterial small subunit ribosomal RNA", at positions 28 to 391 of the family's 1533-position model. The record is from RNAcentral.
GAUGAACGCUAGCGGCAGGCCUAAUACACGCAAGUCGAACGGCCCCCGACACUUCGGUGUCGGGGUAGUGGCGCACGGGUGCGUAACGCGUACACAACAUACCCUUUACAGGGGGAUAGCGGCGGGAAACUGCCAGUAAUACCCCAUGUCCUUGCGAGGUGGCAUCAUUUGCAAAGAAAGUUCAAGCGGUAAAGGAUUGGUGUGCGUCCCGAUUAGCUAGUUGGCGGGGUAACGGCCCACCAAGGCGACGAUCGGUAGGGGGUGUGAGAGCAUGGCCCCCCACACCGGGUACUGAGACACGGACCCGACUCCUACGGGAGGCAGCAGUAAGGAAUAUUGGACAAUGGACGGAAGUCUGAUCCAG